CCUACGGGAGGCUGCAGUGAGGAAUAUUGGUCAAUGGACGAGAGUCUGAACCAGCCAAGUAGCGUGAAGGAUGACUGCCCUAUGGGUUGUAAACUUCUUUUAUAAAGGAAUAAAACGAGGCACGUGUGCCUUUUUGCAUGUACUUUAUGAAUAAGGAUCGGCUAACUCCGUGCCAGCAGCCGCGGUAAUACGGAGGAUCCGAGCGUUAUCCGGAUUUAUUGGGUUUAAAGGGAGCGUAGAUGGGUUGUUAAGUCAGUUGUGAAAGUUUGCGGCUCAACCGUAAAAUUGCAAUUGAUACUGGCAGUCUUGAGUACAGUUGAGGUAAGCGGAAUUCGUGGUGUAGCGGUGAAAUGAUUAGAUAUCACGAAGAACCCCGAUUGCGAAGGCAGCUUACUAAACUGUGACUGACAUUGAUGCUCGAAAGUGUGGGUAGCAAACAGGAUUAGAUACCCUUGUAGUC
RNAcentral lists this ribosomal RNA (460 nucleotides) under uncultured bacterium. RNAcentral's name for it is "partial 16S ribosomal RNA". It matches the Rfam family "Bacterial small subunit ribosomal RNA", at positions 338 to 795 of the family's 1533-position model. The record is from RNAcentral.